GAGAACUUUCCAGAGAUGGGAUUGGGUGCCUUCGGGAACUCUGAGACAGGUGCUGCAUGGCUGUCGUCAGCUCGUGUUGUGAAAUAUUGGGUUAAGUCCCGCAACGAGCGCAACCCUUAUCCUUUGUGCCAGCGGUUAGGCCGGGAACUCAAAAGGAGACUGCCAGUGAUAAACUGGAGGAAGGUGGGGAUGACGUCAAGUCAUCAUGGCCCUUACGAGUAGGGCUACACACGUGCUACAAUGGCGCAUACAAAGAGAAGCGACCUCGCGAGAGCAAGCGGACCUCAUAAAGUGCGUCGUAGUCCGGAUUGGAGUCUGCAACUCGACUCCAUGAAGUCGGAAUCGCUAGUAAUCGUGGAUCAGAAUGCCACGGUGAAUACGUUCCCGGGCCUUGUACACACCGCCCGUCACACCAUGGGAGUGGGUUGCAAAAGAAGUAGGUAGCUUAACCUUCGGGAGGGCGCUUACCACUUUGUGAUUCAUGACUGGGGUGAAGUCGUAACAAGGUAAGCGUAGUGCU
RNAcentral lists this ribosomal RNA (520 nucleotides) under uncultured bacterium. Its description in RNAcentral is "bacterial SSU rRNA". It matches the Rfam family "Bacterial small subunit ribosomal RNA", at positions 991 to 1509 of the family's 1533-position model. The record is from RNAcentral.